RNAcentral lists this ribosomal RNA (533 nucleotides) under uncultured bacterium. Its description in RNAcentral is "bacterial SSU rRNA". It matches the Rfam family "Bacterial small subunit ribosomal RNA", at positions 531 to 1061 of the family's 1533-position model. The record is from RNAcentral.
GGCGCAAGCGUUGUCCGGAAUUUUGGGCGUAAAGAGCUCGUAGGCGGUUUGUCGCGUCUGCUGUGAANCCCGGGGCUUAACCCCGGGUGUGCAGUGGGUACGGGCAGACUUGAGUGCAGUAGGGGAGACUGGAACUCCUGGUGUAGCGGUGAAAUGCGCAGAUAUCAGGAAGAACACCGAUGGCGAAGGCAGGUCUCUGGGCUGUUACUGACGCUGAGGAGCGAAAGCAUGGGGAGCGAACAGGAUUAGAUACCCUGGUAGUCCAUGCCGUAAACGUUGGGCACUAGGUGUGGGGGACAUUCCACGUUUUCCGCGCCGUAGCUAACGCAUUAAGUGCCCCGCCUGGGGAGUACGGCCGCAAGGCUAAAACUCAAAGGAAUUGACGGGGGCCCGCACAAGCGGCGGAGCAUGCGGAUUAAUUCGAUGCAACGCGAAGAACCUUACCAAGGCUUGACAUACACCGGAUCGGCUCAGAGAUGGGUUUUCCUCCUUGUGGGGCUGGUGUACAGGUGGUGCAUGGUUGUCGUCAGCUC